Small nuclear RNA from Octodon degus (degu), 108 nucleotides. NCBI's taxonomy places the organism in Eukaryota, Metazoa, Chordata, Mammalia, Rodentia, Octodontidae. The record is from Ensembl.
GAGCUCACUUCGGCAAACACUUCUACUAAAAUUGGAAUGAUACAGAGAAGACUAGCAUGGCCCCUGCAAAAGGAUAUCAUGCACAUUCAGGAAGUGCCAGAUUUUUAA